This 460-nucleotide ribosomal RNA is filed under the name uncultured bacterium. Its description in RNAcentral is "partial 16S ribosomal RNA". It matches the Rfam family "Bacterial small subunit ribosomal RNA", at positions 338 to 795 of the family's 1533-position model. The record is from RNAcentral.
CCUACGGGAGGCUGCAGUGAGGAAUAUUGGUCAAUGGUCGGGAGACUGAACCAGCCAAGCCGCGUGAGGGAGGACUGUACAGAGGAUCGUAAACCUCUUUUGUCAGGGAACAAAGACUGGGACGCGUCCCCGGAUGAGUGUACCUGAAGAAUAAGCAUCGGCUAACUCCGUGCCAGCAGCCGCGGUAAUACGGAGGAUGCGAGCGUUAUCCGGAUUUAUUGGGUUUAAAGGGUGCGCAGAUGGGUUGUUAAGUCAGCGGUGAAAGUCCGGGGCUCAACCCCCGGAUGCCCGUUGAAACUGGCAGUCUCGAGUUGGAGAGAAGUAGGCGGAAUGCGCGGUGUAGCGGUGAAAUGCAUAGAUAGCGCGCAGAACUCCGAUUGCGAAGGCAGCAUGCCGGCUCCACACUGACGCUGAGGCACGAAAGUGUGGGUAUCGAACAGGAUUAGAUACCCCUGUAGUC